Molecule: long non-coding RNA, 716 nt
Filed under: Zea mays
Lineage: Eukaryota; Viridiplantae; Streptophyta; Magnoliopsida; Poales; Poaceae
Description: long non-coding RNA (ZMAY_LNC002019)
Source: RNAcentral
AUUCACGCGUUGAACCAGCGUUCCGUUGCCGUUUUCCUGGACCGAUGGCUAGUAUUUAUAAAAGCCGGAGGUCGGGUUUCCUUUCCCCAUCUAUCCUCUGGAAGCAAGCUUCUGUCGACACCGUGGGAGCGGGUUAGAGUGCGGUGCGGGGGAGAGAGGCCCGCCGCAUCCUGGGCUCGCCGGUGCUGCCCUUCUACACCAGUGGGGUGGUUCUGGGGCUUCGCCAGCACGCGGGGAAGCUUUGCCUGGUUCGUGCGCAUCGGGGUUGUGGCCGGAGCCUGGGUAAUUUCUCGACGGAAUUUCGGCCUCCGUGGUGUGGCCACCGAGCACCGCAGAUUGGACACGUGAUCGCAUAACAGAAGGUAAAUAACCAAUUGAAUCACUUCCCCAUGUCCUUUCAAUCGUAUUUACGCAAAUUGGGGCGGAAACCAGGCAACGGGGGCACCAGUGCGUCGUGCUCCGGCGGGAUUCCGCCGUGCAGACUGGGCGGCGCCGCCGCGCUCUGGCGUCGGGCGGGGAAGACGCCUCGUCACCGUCAGAUCACUUGUGGGCGGUUGAGAUUAGAUCGACCCAUACCCCUUCACUCGAUUAAAUCUGUGCCGUCGGUUGCAGGCUUUGCGGUCGAGAUUGGGUUACGGCGUGGAUGCCUCACGACCAUCAGAUCUUAAUCUAGCGGCUGUCGUUGGAUACUGAGUUAGGUUUUAUAAAAAAAUCUA